UGCAGAAUCCCGUGAACCAUCGAGUUUUUGAACGCAAGUUGCGCCCGAAGCCAUUAGGCCGAGGGCACGCCUGCCUGGGCGUCACGCGCUCCGUCGCACCUCAACCCCGAACCCCGAAACGGGCCAGGGUUCUUGUGGUGCGGAGAUUGGUCUCCCGUGUGCCUUGCUCGCGGCUGGCCUAAAAUUGAGUCCCGGACGCUCUGUUCUGCGGCCGACGGUGGUUGAGAAGCCCUCGAAAAUGUGCUGCUGCAGUGCUGCCCGAUGUGGACCCUGUGACCCUUGCGCGACCUCUCCCCUUUGGGGUGAGGGAGCUCCAUCUGAGACCCCAGGUCAGGCGGGGCUACCCGCUGAAUUUAAGCAUAUCAAUAA
Molecule: unclassified non-coding RNA, 369 nt
Filed under: Geranium sylvaticum
Lineage: Eukaryota; Viridiplantae; Streptophyta; Magnoliopsida; Geraniales; Geraniaceae
Description: sequence contains ITS2
Rfam family: 5.8S ribosomal RNA (bases 1-84)
Source: RNAcentral